UCUUGGGAGCGAGAAAUGCGGGGGAGGAGGGGAAGAAUGACCUAAGCUCAACGAGAACAGAAAUCUCGUGUGGAACAAAAGGGUAAAAGCUCGUUUGAUUCUCAUUUCCAGUAUGAAUACGAACCGUGAAAGCGUGGCCUAUCGAUCCUUUAGAUCUUCGGAGUUUGAAGCUAGAG
This 176-nucleotide non-coding RNA is filed under the name Triticum aestivum (bread wheat). RNAcentral's name for it is "rRNA LSU_rRNA_eukarya". It matches the Rfam family "Eukaryotic large subunit ribosomal RNA", at positions 2623 to 2802 of the family's 3401-position model. RNAcentral also lists the same sequence under 1 other name. The record is from Rfam by way of RNAcentral. Lineage: Eukaryota; Viridiplantae; Streptophyta; Magnoliopsida; Poales; Poaceae.